Molecule: ribosomal RNA, 274 nt
Filed under: uncultured bacterium
Lineage: Bacteria
Description: partial 16S ribosomal RNA
Rfam family: Archaeal small subunit ribosomal RNA
Source: RNAcentral
AAACCAGCACCUCAAGUGGUCAGGAUGAUUAUUGGGCCUAAAGCAUCCGUAGCCUGAUCUGUAAGUUUUCGGUUAAAUCUGUACGCUCAACGUACAGGCUGCCGGGAAUACUGCAGAUCUAGGGAGUGGGAGAGGUAGACGGUACUCGGGAGGAAGUGGUAAAAUGCUUUGAUCUCUCGAUGACCACCUGUGGCGAAGGCGGUCUACCAGAACACGUCCGACGGUGAGGGAUGAAAGCUGGGGGAGCAAACCGGAGUAGAAACCCUAGUAGUCC